CAAAAUCCUUGCCUGGAAAUUAUAGACCUGUGAGCUUAACUUCUGUAACUGGGAAAAUAUUUGAAGGGCUAUUAAGGGAUAAUAUUCAGGAAUUCAUUGGGAAGAACUUUGUUAUUGGCAAUAAUCAGCAUGGUUUUAUGAAACAUCGGUCAUGUCAAACUAACCUAAUUGCAUUCUACGAAGAAGUAAGUAGAAGUAUAGAUCAGGGUGUUGCAG
This is a non-coding RNA of Pelobates cultripes (western spadefoot toad), 216 nucleotides long. Lineage: Eukaryota; Metazoa; Chordata; Amphibia; Anura; Pelobatidae. The record is from the annotation of a GenBank genome assembly.